UACAGAGACCUCAAACGUUAUCCGGAUUCAUUGGGCGUAAAGGGUCCGCAGGUGGUUUGGCACGUUGGUGGUUAAAUUCCAGCGCUUAACGUUGGAACUGCCAUCAAAACCGCCAGACUAGAGAGUGGGAGAGGCAAGCGGAACUGCCGGUGUAGUCGUAAUAAGCGCUGAUAUCGGCAGGAACACCAAAGGCAAAGGCAGCUUGCUAGAACACUUCUGACACUCAGGGACGAAAGCGUGGGGAGCGAAUAGG
RNAcentral lists this ribosomal RNA (253 nucleotides) under uncultured bacterium. Its description in RNAcentral is "partial 16S ribosomal RNA". It matches the Rfam family "Bacterial small subunit ribosomal RNA", at positions 524 to 776 of the family's 1533-position model. The record is from RNAcentral.